UAAUUUAUUUCUUUUUCUACCCAUUUCAAUCUCUGCUGCCACGUGUUUUAAUUACUGGUGCUUUCAGUUCUAAUCUCUAUGCACCUCGAAGAAAAAAUCCCUAAAAACUUGUUAAUUAAUCUCUCCUCCAUUCACUCAUAAAAAAUGGCGAGCACUACUUCUUAAGAUCCAAGAUUCAACAAAAAUCUACAAGAAAAAAAAGAAGAAAACGCAUCUGAUGAAGACACUGAAGCUCAGAUCGCGUAAAUUUUCAAGUUUGAAGAAGUCGACUUCUCCACCGGAGAAGAAGAAGAAUGACGCUAUUCUCGAUCUGAAAUCGAAGCUGCACCAAUUUGAUAAGUAAGGAAUCAAUGGAAGAAAAGAGGAGCAACAAGUAUGAAGCUAUUGAAUCAAAGAUUCUUAAGAUCUGUGCUAAUUAUUUAGAUCAUGACCCAAUGGAAUACCAUUCAUGUUGAACAAAUUGCUGCAUCAUCGGUGGCUCACCCAUGCUUUUUAUGCCAUUAAUUUAUACAACCAUACUAUUGUUGAGUAGUUGAGAUUGUGAUUUAUAUUUUUUGAGCAGUAAAAUUGUUGAUUUGUUUGCCACUAAGUUUAUGAAUUCUUGGAUGUUUAAUGCAGUGGGAAAACUACACAUGUACUGUUUUUUAGAUGUAUAAGAAAUAUUUUUGAGAUAUACUAUAUGACUUGUUUUUGAGAUA
Molecule: long non-coding RNA, 698 nt
Organism: Mercurialis annua (annual mercury)
Lineage: Eukaryota; Viridiplantae; Streptophyta; Magnoliopsida; Malpighiales; Euphorbiaceae
Exons: 3
Source: RefSeq, a predicted model, not a curated record